Molecule: small RNA, 1051 nt
Filed under: uncultured Pelagibacterales bacterium
Lineage: Bacteria; Pseudomonadati; Pseudomonadota; Alphaproteobacteria; Candidatus Pelagibacterales
Description: bacterial SSU rRNA
Rfam family: Bacterial small subunit ribosomal RNA (bases 1-658)
Source: RNAcentral
CACCGCCUGGGGAGUACGACCGCAAGGUUAAAACUCAAAUGAAUUGACGGGGACCCGCACAAGUAGUGGAGCAUGUGGUUUAAUUCGAAGAUACGCGCAGAACCUUACCAACACUUGACAUGUUCGUCGCGACUCUAAGAGAUUAAAGUUUUCGGUUCGGCCGGACGAAACACAGGUGCUGCAUGGCUGUCGUCAGCUCGUGUCGUGAGAUGUUGGGUUAAGUCCCGCAACGAGCGCAACCCUCACUUUUAGUUGCCAUCAUUAAGUUGGGCACUCUGAAAGAACUGCCAGUGAUAAGCUGGAGGAAGGUGGGGAUGACGUCAAGUCCUCAUGGCCCUUACGUGUUGGGCUACACACGUGCUACAAUGGUAUCUACAACAGGAAGCAAGACUGCGAAGUUAAGCAAAUCCUUAAAAGAUACCUCAGUUCGGAUUGCACUCUGCAACUCGAGUGCAUGAAGCUGGAAUUACUAGUAAUCGUGGAUCAGCGUGCCACGGUGAAUGCGUUCCCGGGUCUUGUACACACCGCCCGUCACACCAUGGGAGUUGGUUCUACCUUAAGGCAAGGUUUAAAACCCUUGACCACGGUAUAGUCAGCGACUGGGGUGAAGUCGUAACAAGGUAGCCGUAGGGGAACCUGCGGCUGGAUUACCUCCUUUCUAAGGAUGAAUGAAAGUAAAAUUUUAUUCUAAAUAAUAUACAUCGGUAAUGUUGACCGUCCUCAUUUCUCUUCUUGAAAUAGUGUUUCUCUUGCAUGGGGGCCGGUAGCUCAGUUGGUUAGAGCACACCCUUGAUAAGGGUGGGGUCGAAAGUUCGAGUCUUUCUCGGCCCACCAAAUUAAGAUUAAGGGGGGAUUAGCUCAGCUGGGAGAGCGCCUGAUUUGCAUUCAGGAGGUCAGCGGUUCGAUCCCGCUAUCCUCCACCAAAAACACUUAGCUAUUAAAAAUUGUAAAUAAAAAUAAAAAAUUAAUAUCAAUAUCUAUAUCCGAACAUUAGUAAUGUUAUUAACUAAUGUUCAAAUAAAAAUUUGAUUCAACACAGAAUUUUUUUCUG